This 450-nucleotide ribosomal RNA is filed under the name uncultured bacterium. RNAcentral's name for it is "partial 16S ribosomal RNA". It matches the Rfam family "Bacterial small subunit ribosomal RNA", at positions 354 to 796 of the family's 1533-position model. The record is from RNAcentral.
GUGGGGAAUAUUGGACAAUGGGCGCAAGCCUGAUCCAGCCAUACCGCGUGGGUGAAGAAGGCCUUCGGGUUGUAAAGCCCUUUUGUUGGGAAAGAAAUCCUGUCGGUUAAUAACCGGUGGGGAUGACGGUACCCAAAGAAUAAGCACCGACUAACUUCGUGCCAGCAGCCGCGGUAAUACGAAGGGUGCAAGCGUUACUCGGAAUUACUGGGCGUAAAGCGUGCGUAGGUGGUGGUUUAAGUCUGCUGUGAAAGCCCUGGGCUCAACCUGGGAAUUGCAGUGGAUACUGGAUCACUAGAGUGUGGUAGAGGGAUGCGGAAUUUCUGGUGUAGCAGUGAAAUGCGUAGAGAUCAGAAGGAACAUCCGUGGCGAAGGCGGCAUCCUGGGCCAACACUGACACUGAGGCACGAAAGCGUGGGGAGCAAACAGGAUUAGAUACCCCGGUAGUCC